RNAcentral lists this small nucleolar RNA (305 nucleotides) under Balearica regulorum gibbericeps (East African grey crowned-crane). Its description in RNAcentral is "Balearica pavonina gibbericeps Small Cajal body-specific RNA 7". It matches the Rfam family "Small Cajal body-specific RNA 7". Lineage: Eukaryota; Metazoa; Chordata; Aves; Gruiformes; Gruidae. The record is from Rfam by way of RNAcentral.
UGGAAGUGAUGAAAUAGAGAUAAUGGGAUGUCAUUUUGAAUGGAGUGUGUGUGAUAAACGGACUGGGGGUGGGGUGUGGGUAAUGUGUGUGUGUGUGUGCGCGUGUAUAGAAGAGGCUUUAAACGGGGGCACUGAUAAUGCAGUGCUGAUUCCGGAGUGCAUCUGAGGCAUGUUGUUAAGUUCUGGGGUGCCGCUUUACAACGUUGCCAAUGAUUAAACCCCGACACAAGCCCACCAAGACAAGCCUAGGCAUCUUAAAUCUCUAACAGGUUCAUUAAUGAAAGUGAUCCUGUGAUCUGAUCUGA